GUCUACGGCCAUGCUACCCUGAACGAAUUCGAUCUCGUCUGAUCUCAGAAGCUAAGCAGGGUCGGGCCUGGUUGGUACUUGGAUGGGAGAACACCUAGGAAGACCAGAUGCUGUAGGUG
Molecule: ribosomal RNA, 119 nt
Filed under: Pteropus alecto (black flying fox)
Lineage: Eukaryota; Metazoa; Chordata; Mammalia; Chiroptera; Pteropodidae
Source: RNAcentral